GGAAAUAUUCUCAAAGUUUAAUACUGGUUCGCGUUCACACAGUUUUCAAACUUUCGAAAUCGUGCGGAUUCUAUAAUCGCGUGCGGCUCAGUUUUAUUGGCUAUGACAAUUAAUACACGAGCGGUUAUCUAAUCGGCGUGAAGUUUAUUCCCGCAAAUUCAAACUUUUGGCUUUCAAUCGUUGAAAAUUAUCAUAUUAUAAUACCGCCGAAUAUAUUUCAUCCACAGAACCGAUCCAAGAAUCAAUCGAAAGUUUUACGGACGACGGUAAAUUACUCAUCACGUAAUCAUGGCUCGAUUUUUACUAUUCGAAACAUUUCCCCGGCAAUACCAGUGACUAUGCGAAUCUCGGCAAAAUUUUGGUUCUUGAAGAGGAUUUCGGAGCGAAGCGCCGAAGAAAACGGAGCCGAAGAUCGGCCCAAAAAGACCCUGGACGUCGUAUAAAAUAACCUUUAAAUUCCUAUCCGCGGAGUGGUAAAAGUUCGCUUCUUUAAUACCUUUUCUUUCUUCACAUUUUACUUUUCGUUUUUUUUCUUUCUUUCCCCCGGUAUUUCGCUCCUUCAGCAGCACCGCGCGAGUCUCGCCUGUGGAUUUAAUCGGCGCUUCGCGCGCGACGAAUACGGUCGGGAAAAAUCGUUUUUUUUUUUUUUUUUUUUCUAAUCACCUCGCGAUUCUCUUCCCGCGGUGAUUCCCCCGGGUGAAAAUCGAUUAAACGGACCGCGAUGUCGUCGCCAAGGUUCUCCAGCUCCGAUCUCGGCCCGUCCAUCGUUCGCGGAAUACCGCUGGGUCAACAAUUAAGCCUCGGCCAGCCUUCGUCGACGGCUAUCACCCGGUUUUCAACCGUCACCUCGACGUACAACGAAACCGUUUCGCCGACGGUAUCGAGUACCGGUACUGCCGGCGGCGGUGACUUCCUCGAAGGAUUGAUAGUUCCUCUCUAUGCCACGAUAUUCGUCCUGGCUGUCAUCGGGAACUUGUUGGUCGUCAUUACUCUCGCAAAAAACAAGAGGAUGCGCACCGUGACCAACGUUUAUCUGCUCAAUUUGGCUCUAUCAGACCUGCUGCUCGGUGUCUUUUGUAUUCCGUUCACUCUCCUGGGACAAAUGCUCAAGAAUUUCGUAUUUGGUACGACGAUGUGCAGGCUGAUACCAUACUUCCAAGCUGUUUCAGUUUCGGUGAGCGUAUGGACUCUGGUCGCGAUAUCCCUGGAGAGAUAUUUCGCAAUUUGCAGACCGCUCAAGUCGCGCCGUUGGCAAACGCGGUGUCACGCCUGUAAGAUGAUCGCGGUUGUCUGGGCGGCAAGUCUCGUCUGGAACGCUCCUAUCCUGGUAGUUUCGAGCCUGAAGGAUAUCAGCGGCGGUCGACAAAAAUGCAGAGAAGACUGGCCGAGCAUCGCCGCGGAAAGAGCGUUCAAUAUAUUUCUGGACGUGAUACUCUUGAUCAUACCUCUGAUAAUGAUGACGCUCGCGUAUUCGCUGAUUGUAACGAAGUUGCGACGACGCGAAAUUCAGCACAGCUCAAGCUGCCAGAGACAAGUCCAGCGGACGAGCUCAUCGGCCACGGUGAACGGAACCUGCCGGCCCAAUUUCUGCAACGAGACCAACAGCGCCAAGGUGAUCGUCACAUCCCUCAGACAGCACAGAUCUCUCUCGUCCUCCGAGUACCUGCAAGGAGUCCGAAGGACGACGUCGCAAGGAGCCCUGGCCCAGGACGCGGCGUCGAGGAAGCCUCGACAAGUGACGUCACGGCGAAGAGCCGAGGCGGUGAAGCUCUGGCUAAUGAGAGGCAUGGUGCAGAUACCAAGCUCUGGAACUCCGAGGGUCGUCGCCUGCAGAAGCAGGAGCGGAACGGCGCUGUCCUCCUCGACCCACCAUCGCGACAAGGGGAUCCAGAUCGAGUCCGAGAACGCCGAGGAGUCGGAGAAUUCCGUCGGCGAGGAGCAUCACGACACCACCUACACCUUUAGCAGACACGCGAUACGCAGCAACUACAUGGACAAGAGCAUCGAGGCCAAGAAGAAGGUGAUCGUGAUGCUCUGCGUGGUGAUGCUGACGUUCUUCCUCUGCUGGACGCCGCUCUACGUGGUUCACACGUGGUACCUCUUCGCCCCGAACAUGGUCUACAAGAUCGUCGGACGGACUGGAAUCAGCCUGAUCCAACUACUGGCCUACUGGUCGAGCUGCUGCAACCCGUUCAUAUACUGCUACAUGAACCGUAACUUCAGACAGGCGGUGAAGAGCGUGUCCUACGAAUGUUGGAGCGCUUACUGCGGAUGCGGAAACGAAACUAUCGGGGGUUCUGGAAGCGCCGUGCGCAACGGACCGCAUCACGGGGCCAACAGCGAGGUGAGCGGUAACGACUCUACAAUUUACCUGGGGCGGGCAUCCAUCAUGGCGAGAACCGUAGUCCUCCUCGAAGCGGAGGAUCGUGUUUAGCAGCGGCUGCGGGUCGAACGGAUUCCAAGAAUCAACGGGAAGCGGGGGCGCCUCGAUAGUCCUCCUCGGCGGCAGCGGAAACCCGAGUUCAUCGCCCGGAACGGCAGCCAAUCAGAAAGUCGGAACCGCCGGAAGUCUUGGCUCGCCAUUGGUCUGCGCCGACGGCGAAGCGGACGGUUUUCUGGUCCGGAUUUCCUGGCGACCGCCGCCUGGGCCUGGUCCAGGAUCGACCCCGUCGACCAUCUCAGGCCAGGGUCAUAAUAACCUGAACAUGCAGUGUCAGUACCUACCGAACCAGCAGACCUCGAUCUCGGGCCAAAGAAGUCCGAGCUAUUAUUUUUCCGCUCUGCAUCUCUGCUCGUCGGGCGGUUCCUGUUCCGGGGAUGAUUCGAGGGUCCUUUACGAUUGAUUGUGAGGGAGGCGCGGAAACGAGGGAUGAAAACGCAUCGGGGGACUGGACACGUCGCACUUUGAUGCGCUGCCAGGACUGUGGAUGCGCAGAGUUCAGGUGACUCGGAGCGGAUUCCUGCAUGACGAAUUUUUCAUCGCCAAGUGUCAAACGGACUUGUCGAAUCGAUGAUCGUUUGAUAAUGCAACUCCGAUAUCAGACAAUUAUUAUAGAAUACAGAUUGAAAAAUCUUUCUCAUCUACGAAGGCAGCUGAUCAAUACACAAAAUUGAUGAUAAUAUUGUAUAAAAUUGCAAAUAAUUAUCUAUAGUUGACGAUCGAUGUAUUAUAUAAUUCAGAUAUCCAGUACUAUGUAUAUGGCUGUAUUGUUAUACAAUUAAUUAUGUACAUAUCGCAUAGGUUUUACCAAAUUGUACGCCAUUAUCAAUAAUAUUUCUAUACGCACAAUUGUUACACGUGCUUAUUAUCGACGUAUCUGCGUAUAUUUACGUAUAUACAUAUAUACAGCAUAUGUAUAUGAUAUUAAUAACGAUAACUUUUUACCGA
This 3388-nucleotide unclassified non-coding RNA is filed under the name Neodiprion lecontei (redheaded pine sawfly). Its description in RNAcentral is "cholecystokinin receptor type A-like, transcript variant X2". Lineage: Eukaryota; Metazoa; Arthropoda; Insecta; Hymenoptera; Diprionidae. The record is from RNAcentral.